This 315-nucleotide ribosomal RNA is filed under the name uncultured eukaryote. RNAcentral's name for it is "partial 18S ribosomal RNA". It matches the Rfam family "Eukaryotic small subunit ribosomal RNA", at positions 1470 to 1796 of the family's 1831-position model. The record is from RNAcentral.
CCCUUAGACGUUCUGGGCCGCACGCGCGCUACACUGACCAGUGCAACAAGCAUCCGUCCUUGGCCGACAGGCUCGGGCAAUCUUUGAACGCUGGUCGUGAUGGGGAUAGACUUUUGCAAUUUUUGGUCUUCAACGAGGAAUUCCUAGUAAACGCAAGUCAUCAACUUGCAUUGAUUACGUCCCUGCCCUUUGUACACACCGCCCGUCGCACCUACCGAUUGAACGGUCCGGUGAAGCCUCCGGAUUGGCGCGCACCUCGGUACCGCCGAGAAGUUGGCUAAACCUUACCAUUUAGAGGAAGGUGAANUCGUAACA